Molecule: ribosomal RNA, 510 nt
Filed under: uncultured bacterium
Lineage: Bacteria
Description: partial 16S ribosomal RNA
Rfam family: Bacterial small subunit ribosomal RNA
Source: RNAcentral
GACGAACGCUGGCGGCGUGCUUAACACAUGCAAGUCGAACGAAGAGCGAUGGAAGCUUGCUUCUAUCAAUCUUAGUGGCGAACGGGUGAGUAACGCGUAAUCAACCUGCCCUUCAGAGGGGGACAACAGUUGGAAACGACUGCUAAUACCGCAUACGAUCUAAUCUCGGCAUCGAGGAUGGAUGAAAGGUGGCCUCUACAUGUAAGCUAUCACUGAAGGAGGGGAUUGCGUCUGAUUAGCUAGUUGGAGGGGUAACGGCCCACCAAGGCGAUGAUCAGUAGCCGGUCUGAGAGGAUGAACGGCCACAUUGGGACUGAGACACGGCCCAGACUCCUACGGGAGGCAGCAGUGGGGAAUCUUCCGCAAUGGACGAAAGUCUGACGGAGCAACGCCGCGUGAGUGAUGACGGCCGUCGGGUUGUAAAGCUCUGUUAAUCGGGACGAAAGGCCUUCUUGCGAAUAGGGAGAAGGAUUGACGGUACCGGAAGAGAAAGCCACGGCUAACUACGUG